UACGUAGGGGGCGAGCGUUAUCCGGAAUUACUGGGCGUAAAGCGCACGCAGGCGGUUCGCCAAGUUUGGAGUGACAGUUGUCGGCUCAACCGACAAAGGACUUCAAAAACUGGUGAACUUGAGGACGAGAGAGGAACAUGGAGCUCCAGGUGUAGUAGUGAAAUGCGUAGAUAUCUGGAAGAACACCAAUGGCGAAGGCAAUGUUCUGGCUCGUUUCUGACGCUCAGGUGCGAAAGCCAGGGGAGCGAACGGG
This 253-nucleotide ribosomal RNA is filed under the name uncultured bacterium. RNAcentral's name for it is "partial 16S ribosomal RNA". It matches the Rfam family "Bacterial small subunit ribosomal RNA", at positions 524 to 776 of the family's 1533-position model. The record is from RNAcentral.